This 324-nucleotide ribosomal RNA is filed under the name uncultured bacterium. Its description in RNAcentral is "bacterial SSU rRNA". It matches the Rfam family "Bacterial small subunit ribosomal RNA", at positions 65 to 370 of the family's 1533-position model. The record is from RNAcentral.
AACGGAGUUACUUUGGUGAGGUUUUCGGAUGGAUCUGAUUUAACUUAGUGGCGGACGGGUGAGUAAUGCGUGAGCAACCUGCCCUUCAGAGGGGGACAACAGUUGGAAACGACUGCUAAUACCGCAUAAUGUAUCCGGGAGGCAUCUUCUGGAUACCAAAGGAGAAAUCCGCUGAUGGAUGGGCUCACGUCUGAUUAGCUAGUUGGUGAGGUAACGGCUCACCAAGGCUGCGAUCAGUAGCCGGACUGAGAGGUUGAACGGCCACAUUGGGACUGAGAUACGGCCCAGACUCCUACGGGAGGCAGCAGUGGGGAAUAUUGGGCA